Molecule: ribosomal RNA, 429 nt
Filed under: Actinomycetes bacterium
Lineage: Bacteria; Bacillati; Actinomycetota; Actinomycetes
Description: Actinobacteria bacterium partial 16S ribosomal RNA
Rfam family: Bacterial small subunit ribosomal RNA
Source: RNAcentral
UAGGGAAUCUUCCGCAAUGGGCGAAAGCCUGACGGAGCAACGCCGCGUGAGUGAUGAAGGUCUUCGGAUCGUAAAACUCUGUUAUUAGGGAAAAACAAAUGUGUAAGUAACUAUGCACGUCUUGACGGUACCUAAUCAGAAAGCCACGGCUAACUACGUGCCAGCAGCCGCGGUAAUACGUAGGUGGCAAGCGUUAUCCGGAAUUAUUGGGCGUAAAGCGCGCGUAGGCGGUUUUUUAAGUCUGAUGUGAAAGCCCACGGCUCAACCGUGGAGGGUCAUUGGAAACUGGAAAACUUGAGUGCAGAAGAGGAAAGUGGAAUUCCAUGUGUAGCGGUGAAAUGCGCAGAGAUAUGGAGGAACACCAGUGGCGAAGGCGACUUUCUGGUCUGUAACUGACGCUGAUGUGCGAAAGCGUGGGGAUCAAACAGG